RNAcentral lists this ribosomal RNA (492 nucleotides) under uncultured bacterium. RNAcentral's name for it is "partial 16S ribosomal RNA". It matches the Rfam family "Bacterial small subunit ribosomal RNA", at positions 29 to 507 of the family's 1533-position model. The record is from RNAcentral.
AGUGAACGCUGGCGGUAGGCCUAACACAUGCAAGUCGAACGGCAGCACAGUAAGAGCUUGCUCUUACGGGUGGCGAGUGGCGGACGGGUGAGGAAUACAUCGGAAUCUACUUUUUCGUGGGGGAUAACGUAGGGAAACUUACGCUAAUACCGCAUACGACCUACGGGUGAAAGCAGGGGAUCUUCGGACCUUGCGCGAUUGAAUGAGCCGAUGUCGGAUUAGCUAGUUGGCGGGGUAAAGGCCCACCAAGGCGACGAUCCGUAGCUGGUCUGAGAGGAUGAUCAGCCACACUGGAACUGAGACACGGUCCAGACUCCUACGGGAGGCAGCAGUGGGGAAUAUUGGACAAUGGGCGCAAGCCUGAUCCAGCCAUACCGCGUGGGUGAAGAAGGCCUUCGGGUUGUAAAGCCCUUUUGUUGGGAAAGAAAAGCAGCAGGUUAAUACCCCGCUAUUCUGACGGUACCCAAAGAAUAAGCACCAGCUAACUUCGUG